Molecule: long non-coding RNA, 888 nt
Organism: Andrographis paniculata
Lineage: Eukaryota; Viridiplantae; Streptophyta; Magnoliopsida; Lamiales; Acanthaceae
Exons: 3
Source: RefSeq, a predicted model, not a curated record
UGUUGGUCCUAAUUGCCUACGAUGUCUCUUCAACCGCAAUCUCCGCCGUCGGUGGAAAGUUAUUCUCCGUUGGAAUCUUUUCAUUUGCCCCGGAGGAAGAGUUUCGAGGGAGAGAAUCCUAUUUUGGUCGAUUGGAAGGAAUCGACUAAUGGCGACGCCUUGUCGACUAUGGAUCAUGCCGGAUCUCGGUUUCCGACGUCGUUGUUGGCCUUGCCGUUGUUCGUCGUGCCCGAUUCGUAGACCGAGUUCAAACAACAACUCAAUGACGCCUCAUCAACGGUGGAUCUUGCCGGAUCCAGGUUGCCGACGACCUAUUUGGCGUUCGACCCAUUUGUCGUGGCUGAUUCGGAGCCCGAGUUUGAACCAAAACUCACUGGCGCCGGGGUCAUUCCCUACUGAUCUCUUUUCUAUGGCUUUGUCCCGAUGAGAUUUACUAGAAUUGAGAAGGCUCCUUCGAGCAACUUUUCCACUCGCACGGUGGUAUUGUCUUUCUUAAAAAAUCUACUGCCAUGUUGCCCUAAAGUUACCGGAGUUCCGUGAAGAAGAUGCAGUUUUCACCGAAUGUUCGGUGGAACUGUUUGAAACAGAUAGUUCACCAAGCCUCUCUAUGGAAGCUUCGAUUAAAUCUGUAAAGGACUAUCACAAAUUUUUCUAUUUUCAAAAGAGGUGAUUCUUAAGUCAUCUGCCAUCGUACCCUCUAUUUUUAAUUAAUUUUUAAAACAAAAUAAAAAGUUACCCCUCCUCUCGCACGAGUGGGAUUUUGCCUCGCCCUUUCAUCCGAGAGGAUGACAACCUCAAAAUUGCAAGGUGGAUUGGAGAACCUAUUUUGCAGGGUGAAUUGGAGAUGUCUUAAGAGGUAAAACAACUGAUAAUAUAAUUAGUUAUAUC